GAUGAACGCUGGCGGCGUGCCUAAUACAUGCAAGUCGAGCGAACAGAUGAGGAGCUUGCUCCUCUGACGUUAGCGGCGGACGGGUGAGUAACACGUGGAUAACCUACCUAUAAGACUGGGAUAACUUCGGGAAACCGGAGCUAAUACCGGAUAAUAUAUUGAACCGCAUGGUUCAAUAGUGAAAGACGGUUUUGCUGUCACUUAUAGACGGAUCCGCGCCGCAUUAGCUAGUUGGUAAGGUAACGGCUUACCAAGGCAACGAUGCGUAGCCGGCCUGAGGGGGUGAUCGGCCACACUGGAACUGAGACACGGUCCAGACUCCUACGGGAGGCAGCAGUAGGGAAUCUUCCGCAAUGGGCGAAAGCCUGACGGAGCAACGCCGCGUGAGUGAUGAAGGUCUUCGGAUCGUAAAACUCUGUUAUUAGGGAAGAACAAAGGUGUAAGUAACUAUGCACGUCUUGACGGUACCUAAUCAGAAAGCCACGGCUAACUACGGG
This 497-nucleotide ribosomal RNA is filed under the name uncultured bacterium. Its description in RNAcentral is "partial 16S ribosomal RNA". It matches the Rfam family "Bacterial small subunit ribosomal RNA", at positions 28 to 507 of the family's 1533-position model. The record is from RNAcentral.